AAGACUCUACUUUCAGGGAUCAUUUCUAUAGUUUAUUACUAGGGAAGUUUCUCUCAAUGUGUAGAGCACAAAAAGUAAAAU
Molecule: non-coding RNA, 81 nt
Organism: Gorilla gorilla gorilla (western lowland gorilla)
Lineage: Eukaryota; Metazoa; Chordata; Mammalia; Primates; Hominidae
Source: Rfam